RNAcentral lists this ribosomal RNA (421 nucleotides) under uncultured eukaryote. RNAcentral's name for it is "bacterial SSU rRNA". It matches the Rfam family "Eukaryotic small subunit ribosomal RNA", at positions 592 to 1016 of the family's 1831-position model. The record is from RNAcentral.
CAAUAGCGUAUAUUAAAGUUGUUGCAGUUAAAAAGCUCGUAGUUGGAUUUCUGGUGGGAGCACGGGUCGGCCUUCACGGGUUGUACUGUUGUUGCGUCCUGCCGUUUCGGAGGGAAUGGUCAUGUUAUUAGGUUAGCGUGAUCGGAAACUCUGUCGUUUACUGUGAAAAAAUCAGAGUGUUUCUAGCAGGCAGCUCGCUCUUGCAUAGGUUAGCAUGGGAUAAUUUAAUAGGACUCUGGUGCUAUUUGUUGGUUUCGAACACCGGAGUAAUGAUUAAAAGGGGCAGUCAGGGGCACUCGUAUUCCGUCGAGAGAGGUGAAAUUCUCAGACCAAUGGAAGACGAACCACUGCGAAAGCAUUUGCCAGGGAUGUUUUCACUGAUCAAGAACGAAAGUUAGGGGAUCGAAGACGAUCAGAUACC